Molecule: ribosomal RNA, 270 nt
Filed under: uncultured bacterium
Lineage: Bacteria
Description: partial 16S ribosomal RNA
Rfam family: Bacterial small subunit ribosomal RNA
Source: RNAcentral
GUCCACGCCCUAAACGAUGCACACUAGAUCGGUGCGGGUUUUACCCCGUAUUGGUCGUAGAGAAAUUGCUAAGUGUGCCGCCUGGGGAGUACGGUCGCAAGGCUAAAACUCAAAGAAAUUGACGGGGGCUCACACAAGCGGUGGAGCAUGUUGCUUAAUUCGAAGCAACGCGAAGAACCUUACCUGGGUUUGACAUGCACGGAUUAGCUCCUGGAAACAGGAGUAAGGCCCGCAAGGGUACAACGUGCACAGGUGCUGCAUGGCUGUCGU